GCCUAGCUGACUCAGUCAGUAGAGCAUGCGACUGUUGAUCUCAGGGUUGUGAGUUCAAGCCCCACAUUGGGCC
Molecule: transfer RNA, 73 nt
Filed under: Felis catus (domestic cat)
Lineage: Eukaryota; Metazoa; Chordata; Mammalia; Carnivora; Felidae
Also listed under: 3 other names
Rfam family: tRNA
About the family: Transfer RNA (tRNA) molecules are approximately 80 nucleotides in length.
Source: Rfam by way of RNAcentral